This 437-nucleotide long non-coding RNA is filed under the name Solanum tuberosum (potato). RNAcentral describes it as "long non-coding RNA (STUB_LNC002195)". The record is from RNAcentral. Lineage: Eukaryota; Viridiplantae; Streptophyta; Magnoliopsida; Solanales; Solanaceae.
CAACAAAUGUCUCGGUUAGAUCAGCCCGUUCCCCCUGCAGUUGGAUAUCCACCAAUGCAGCAACCUCACGGAUACCCCCCACAACCCCAUGGUUAUCCACCACCACAACAACAGCCUCAGGGUUACCCACCAUCUCAGCAACAGCCUCAGGAGUACCCACCACCUCAGCAACAACCUCAGGAUUACCCACCACCUCAGCAGCAGCCUCAGGGUCAUCCACCACAACAGCAGCCUCAAGGUUAUCCACCACCACAGCAGCCGCCUCAGGGUUACCCACCAUCACAGCAGCUGCCUCAGGGUUACCCACCAGCCAACUAUCCCCCACCUGGUGCUGGAGAACCCAAAUCUGAUCAUCUUCAAUGAGUUGGAACUUUCUUUUUUUGGCAGCGAAAUCCAUUGAUCUCUACUUGAAUUUAGUACGGUACUUUUAGACUAUU